GAACGCACAUUGCGCCCGCUGGUACUCCGGCGGGCACGCCUGUCCGAGCGUCAUUUCAACCCUCAAGCCCUCCUUCGGGAUGGGCCUGGUGUUGGGGCCCGGCCGCCAUCUCCGGCGGCCGUCCCCUAAAUACAGUGGCGGUCACGUCGCGACUCCUUUUCGUAGUAGAAACACCUCGCUCCGGAUAGCAACGCGGUCCACGCCGUAAAACCCCCAAUUUUCAAUGGUUGACCUCGGAUCAGGUGGGAAUACCCGCUGAACUUAAG
This 266-nucleotide unclassified non-coding RNA is filed under the name Chlamydocillium curvulum. RNAcentral describes it as "Kiflimonium curvulum sequence contains 5.8S rRNA gene". The stretch from base 1 to 53 matches the Rfam family "5.8S ribosomal RNA", at positions 102 to 154 of the family's 154-position model. Lineage: Eukaryota; Fungi; Ascomycota; Sordariomycetes; Hypocreales. The record is from RNAcentral.